Molecule: ribosomal RNA, 718 nt
Filed under: Alcaligenes faecalis
Lineage: Bacteria; Pseudomonadati; Pseudomonadota; Betaproteobacteria; Burkholderiales; Alcaligenaceae
Description: bacterial SSU rRNA
Rfam family: Bacterial small subunit ribosomal RNA
Source: RNAcentral
CGGGCCGCCCUUUAAUGCGCCCUAGUUGAGGGCAGCACGAGAGAGCUUGCUCUCUUGGUGGCGAGUGGCGGACGGGUGAGUAAUAUAUCGGAACGUGCCUAGUAGCGGGGGAUAACUACUCGAAAGAGUGGCUAAUACCGCAUACGCCCUACGGGGGAAAGGGGGGGAUCGCAAGACCUCUCACUAUUAGAGCGGCCGAUAUCGGAUUAGCUAGUUGGUGGGGUAAAGGCUCACCAAGGCAACGAUCCGUAGCUGGUUUGAGAGGACGACCAGCCACACUGGGACUGAGACACGGCCCAGACUCCUACGGGAGGCAGCAGUGGGGAAUUUUGGACAAUGGGGGAAACCCUGAUCCAGCCAUCCCGCGUGUAUGAUGAAGGCCUUCGGGUUGUAAAGUACUUUUGGCAGAGAAGAAAAGGUACCUCCUAAUACGAGGGUACUGCUGACGGUAUCUGCAGAAUAAGCACCGGCUAACUACGUGCCAGCAGCCGCGGUAAUACGUAGGGUGCAAGCGUUAAUCGGAAUUACUGGGCGUAAAGCGUGUGUAGGCGGUUCGGAAAGAAAAGAUGUGAAAUCCCCAGGGCUCAACCUUGGAACUGCAUUUUUUAACUGCCGAGCUAGAGUAUGUCAGAGGGGGGUAGAAUUCCACGUGUAGCAGUGAAAAUGCUUAAUAUGUGGAGGAAUACCGAUGGGCGAAAGGCGGCCCCCCUGGAAAAUU